This is a long non-coding RNA of Esox lucius (northern pike), 2002 nucleotides long. RefSeq lists it as uncharacterized. The record is from RefSeq and is a predicted model, not a curated record. Lineage: Eukaryota; Metazoa; Chordata; Actinopteri; Esociformes; Esocidae. The transcript has 3 exons.
GUCAAAAAAGAUAUAGAGCGACGGAGGGUGGAGACUGGGUGCGAGUGAAAGCGAGAAAAGGAAUGAGAUUAGGAGAGAAAAAUUUAAAACGAAAAAAAAAAAUAUCACCUCACCACACACUGUCGAAAUCCCCAAGGGCCGGUCCUUGUUGAGAUUCGAACCGGUGUUGAACCUGAAAUCUCCUUUUUCCUGGAUGUCCUGUCCUGUGCCUCUCCUCAGCGAGGUGCCGUAGAAGUCGGUGGCCGUAUCACAGACCGGACUUCGGCGAGCAGACGGGCGACAUGGGGAGGCUGGCAUGGAAGCUCCACCCUUCCAACAAUGCUCUAGUCCUCGGCAGGCCUUUGUGCACAGAACCCUGCAUUGUUUUCCCCUCGCGGCAAAGCCAGCUGGCACGGAGAUGGCAGUGCCAUUGACAAGGUUCACAAUACCCCCUCCAGUAAGAGCCACAAUGAAGGGACGUGGACACAGCCACCUCUAUGGCACACAGUCGCGGAGCGAGCGAGGAGAACACAGGGACUCACAGGCAGCUGCUGCCAACAUCUCCACAGCCCCUAUAGCGUCUGCAGCUUUCAGCGCUGACAAGAGGCUGGCAAGGGGGGCUCUUCUUUUUAAUCCACAUUGUUCAGGGGGCUCUAGAGAGGAAGAGUGUUGGUGUGCUUGUGUGCUAUUUUUAUAGAGGCUGACUGAAGAGAUGGAAAGCUCUCUCACACACACACACACACAUGCACACACACAAGCUCAAGGAUUCACACACUCCCCAUACUCCCUGUCUCUAGCGAAGUAGUUCUACUGCUUACCUGGGUUUAUUGCACCAAGCCGUCGCCUCUUGUCACGUCUUAUCAAGUGGAGGAAAAUGACAGUUCUGCAUUUGUCAAGGCCAAGCAGCGGGGGUCUACACCACACUGCAUACAGCAAGCUGCCGGAAAACAAGGCCCCGGCUUUAGCCUCCGCGGCUAGAACAACAGACACCCAUCCAUCCGCAACACAGCCGGGGGAAAGGGACCAGAGGGCCGACAUGAGGGGGAAGUGUCUGUGUGCGCUGAGCAGGAGGAAUUGUCACUAAGAUGUGGUUGAGGAUCCUGCUGGAGGUUCUUUGGUCAAGCGGUAAGUGAUUCAAUACUGGUGUUCGAGCCAGGACUCCAGAAGAUACUGUAGCUGGACUGUCAGCUGUAAACAUGUCAUUAUUUCUUCGCUCCCCUUGCUCUUGAGAGAAGGGAAACUUUCCAUUACCCUGGCCCGGUGUCGUCUCAGCAGGCCUGGAGUUUGUCCCGCUCCCGCUAAUGGACUCUGGCUCCUCCUGGAGCGAGGGCAGGGAGUGGGGAGCUGGGCCGGAGCGGAGGAAUAAGAACCCAGGAGCCUUUGGGGCCCCGUGUGUGUGACCUCUAACCUAAGCUAGCAUCAGGAAGUGGCAAGCGGUGAGGGGAAGUGGGAGCACCUGUGCAGAGAUGUCUGUUGUCACUGGUUGACGGAGGAAGAGACGAGACACCGUGAGAAGACUGCUGGCUGCCGAGAGUCACCCUCUCUUCCCUGCAAGGCGCAACAGGCAAGGUUGAGGUCACUACUGGACGCCUUGUCUGUUUUUUCUCAUCCAGCAAUCUGGUCCACACAGAAUUACUUUCAUGACUCUCAAUUCCUAAACAACAGUAGCAGAAGUGUCUGAUACAGGUUAAAAGGAUAUAGCCUUUUUUUUUUUUUUUUUAAUUUAAAUUCAAUUCAACAACUUUUAUGCGUUGGCGUCUUGUUUAGCCAAUUUCAAAGUCUAAAUGUGUUUAAUUGUUUUAGGACUAAAUUCCUUUUAAGGUUAUUUACUCAAACACAUAUUUUGAGGCAACUCAAAAUGUAGUUAUUAAAGUGAGUGAAUUCUGUUUGGCCUCUGAAAGGACAAUGCAUAAUUGGCUAUGCUAUUACUGUAAUGUUUUGUUUAAUUAUUUUUGCUGUAAUGCUGAGCAUUGUUGUGGUCAAGGACAGUGAUAGAUAGCCUGGCUACAGCCUGAAGGGAAGG